GCGGAUAUGGCGGAAUUGGUAGACGCGCUGAUUUCAGGUGUCAGUGGGCGGGGCUCGUGCAGGUUCGACUCCUGUUAUCCGCA
RNAcentral lists this transfer RNA (83 nucleotides) under Erysipelotrichaceae bacterium. RNAcentral describes it as "tRNA-Leu". It matches the Rfam family "tRNA". From Rfam's summary of the family: Transfer RNA (tRNA) molecules are approximately 80 nucleotides in length. Their secondary structure includes four short double-helical elements and three loops (D, anti-codon, and T loops). RNAcentral also lists the same sequence under 1 other name. The record is from RNAcentral. Lineage: Bacteria; Bacillati; Bacillota; Erysipelotrichia; Erysipelotrichales; Erysipelotrichaceae.